CCUACGGGAGGCAGCAGUGAGGAAUAUUGGUCAAUGGGCGAGAGCCUGAACCAGCCAAGUCGCGUGAGGGAGUACUGCCCUAUGGGUUGUAAACCUCUUUUGUCGGGGAGCAAAAGCCGGACGUGUCCUAUUUUGUAUGUACCUUAUGAAUAAGGAUCGGCUAACUCCGUGCCAGCAGCCGCGGUAAUACGGAGGAUCCGAGCGUUAUCCGGAUUUAUUGGGUUUAAAGGGUGCGUAGGCGGCCUUUUAAGUCAGCGGUGAAAGUCUGUGGCUCAACCAUAGAAUUGCCGUUGAAACUGGGGGGCUUGAGUAUGUUUGAGGCAGGCGGAAUGCGUGGUGUAGCGGUGAAAUGCUUAGAUAUCACGCAGAACCCCGAUUGCGAAGGCAGCCUGCCAAGCCAUGACUGACGCUGAUGCACGAAAGCGUGGGGAUCAAACAGGAUUAGAUACCCUGGUAGUC
RNAcentral lists this ribosomal RNA (459 nucleotides) under uncultured bacterium. RNAcentral's name for it is "partial 16S ribosomal RNA". It matches the Rfam family "Bacterial small subunit ribosomal RNA", at positions 338 to 795 of the family's 1533-position model. The record is from RNAcentral.